Molecule: ribosomal RNA, 441 nt
Filed under: uncultured bacterium
Lineage: Bacteria
Description: bacterial SSU rRNA
Rfam family: Bacterial small subunit ribosomal RNA
Source: RNAcentral
CCUACGGGUGGCAGCAGCAAGGAAUAUUGGGCAAUGGCCGAAAGGCUGACCCAGCGACGCCGCGUGGGGGAGGAAGGCCUUCGGGUUGUAAACCCCUUUUCUCAAGGAAGAAACUAGACGGUACUUGAGGAAUAAGCCCCGGCUAACUACGUGCCAGCAGCCGCGGUAAUACGUAGGGGGCGAGCGUUGUCCGGAAUCACUGGGCGUAAAGCGCGCGUAGGUGGCGCGUCAAGAUCGGCGUGAAAUCCCCGGGCUCACCUCGGGGGGGUCGUCGGUGACUGGCGUGCUUGGGUUCCGCAGAGGCAGGUAGAAUUCCCGGUGGAGCGGUGAAAUGCGUAGAGAUCGGGAGGAAUACCAGUGGCGAAGGCGGCCUGCUGGGCGGCAACCGACGCUGAGGCGCGAAAGCGUGGGGAGCGAACCGGAUUAGAUACCCCUGUAGUC